RNAcentral lists this long non-coding RNA (5795 nucleotides) under Nicotiana tabacum (common tobacco). RNAcentral's name for it is "long non-coding RNA (NTAB_LNC014881)". The record is from RNAcentral. Lineage: Eukaryota; Viridiplantae; Streptophyta; Magnoliopsida; Solanales; Solanaceae.
ACCAAACAAGUAACUCCAGAGCAAAUGGAGCGCACCAACAUCUUCCGUAGAGCUGAUAGCCUACUUAGAGGAUUCUCGACCUGUCUAUCGGGACCUGCGGGCAUGAAACAAAUUGUCCCCAGGCAAAAGGGACAUCAGUAAAAAUAAUGUACCAAGUAUGUAAGGAAUGAAAAUGAAUAAACAAUAGACAUGAGAGAAACAUAGAGUAAAUGACUUAACAUAUAUAUAUCUGAAUAGCUUUGUGAAUCAUUUAAAAUUAUAAUGUCAUGCAUAUGUGUAUAAUUGUCAUACCAUGCAUGGGUAUAUGUAUUCAUAACAUCAUCAAGCCUCUGAGGGCAUCCCAUCAUAUCAUCUCGGUCACUGUGAGAAAAUCAUCAACGUAUACCAGCUGAUAUGGUGGUGGUGCGUAUAUAACGCCGUAACCUUUUUCCUAUAUCCCAUAUACAUAUAUACACAUAUAUAGUGUCAUAUGGUCAUGGGUCAAUGUAAAUGAAUGCAAUGCAUGAGAAGUAUGUCAAUAAAAUUCAUGGGAAUGUCAUAAGACCAUUAUGCCUUUGAUUAAUAUCAUGAAAUAAACUUCAUCAAUUUACGUAUUUUCUGAGACCCAUGAACAGAUGAUAGAAUAAUAAGACACAUGGGGAAAUGAAGAAAGCAGGUACCUCUAGUUUACCUUGUUCACCAGUCCACACUGAUUUCUAUUACUCUAGGGUCUAACCUUUCCAUUUGGUAAUCACGUUAGAGUUACGAACUUAUUUUUCAAAAUGAGGAUAUGAAUUUAUGGCCUAUAUUCUUUUAUUGUCUCAAGGCAUGUCACCUCUCGUCUUUUCCGUCACUUCACUAUAGAAUCUGUACAAAUAAGAAAGGAUGUUGGGACGUGGAGACAUCAGUACAUGUUGGGACAUGUCGGGCAUGAAACGCAAUGUCCUGAGCUAAAGAGACAUUAGUACAAAUAAUGUACCGAGUAUGUAAGGAAUGAAAAUUAGUAAACAAUAGACAUGAGAGAAACAUGGAGUAAAAGACUCAACAUGUAUAUAUGGAUAGCUCUGUGAAUCAUAUAAAAUUAUAAUGUCAUGAAUAUGCGUAUAAAUGUCAUACCAUGCAUGGGUAUAUGCAUACAUAACAUCAUCAAGCCUCUGAGGGCAUCCCAUCAUAUCAUCUCGGCCACUAUGGAAAAUCAUCAAUGUAUACCAGCUGAUUAGGAAGUGGCCCCGAAACCUAGUCCAAAGAAGUUCAGAAUGCCAUAUCUCCCAAAAUAUAAUGGUAGCUCGGACCCUAAUGAACACGUUACCUCUUACACCUGUGCAGUAAAUGGCAACGACCCGAGGGACAAUGAGAUCGAGUCCAUCCUGCUGAAGAAGAUAGGAGAAACACUUUCUAAAGGGGCAAUUAUGUGGUAUCAUAACAUGUCCCCAAACUCUAUAGACUCAUUUGCUAUGCUAGCAGUGUCCUUCAUAAAAGCGCAUGUUGGGGCCAUCAAGGUGGCCACAACGAAAUCGGACGUCUUCAAAAUCAAGGAAAGAGAGAGCAAAAUGUUGCGAGAGUUCGUAUCUUGCUUCCUAAUGGAACGAAUGGAACUACCCCCUUGGGUUCAGUAUACCCAAGCAGGCUUCUGGUGAAGGAGCCAAAGCAAAACAAAGAAAGAUAUCAGCCAUACCCCGAAGAUAGAAUGAACGCCCCGAGGUGCAACCCACCUUGCAAUGAUCGAAGGAUAGACCGAGGACAGAAUCCUCGGGGACUCAUCAAUAGAUCCGGAUUUGAUAGGACCGUACGGCCAAUGGAGGCACCUCGCUUAUCAGAAUACAACUUCAACAUCGAUAUAUCGGACGUCGUGUCCGCCAUCAGUAAAAUCAAAGACACCAGGUGGCCUAGGCCUGUAAAAUUAGAUCCUUCGUAAAGGAAUCAUAACUUAGUGUGUGAAUUUCAUAACAUGCAUGGACACAUGACCGAGGAUUUCCACCAGCUACAAGAAGAGGUAGCCCGACUGCUUAACAAAGGUCACCUCCGGGAAUUCCUCAGCGACCGAGCCAAAAAUCAGUUCCGAAAAGGAGAGGCAGCUAAGAAGACUGAAAUAAAUGAGCCACAACAUGUCAUCCACAUGAUCUUGGGAGGUAUCGACGACCCACAUGAACCCGUGAUGAGAAGGACAAAAAUAUCCAUCACCACAAGAAAGCAAACCCAGGGGUAUAUACCCGAGGAUGCCCUCACAUUCAGUGAAGAGGACAUCGAGACCUAGUGUCAACCCCACAAUGAUGCACUGGUAAUCUCUUUCCUUGUAUAUACAUUUCAAAUAAAAUGUGUACUGGUAGAUCUAGGUAGCUCGGCCAACAUUAUCAGGUCGAGGGUAAUAGAGUAGCUCGGACUGAUUGCCCAAAUCGUGCCAACCACUCGAGUCCUCAACGGAUUCAACAUGGCGAGUGAAACAACGAAAAGAGAAAUCACCCUCCCAGUCAACGUGGCCAGAAUAACCCAGAAUGUCAAAUUCCAUGUCAUCGAAGGAGACAUGAGGUACAACGCCUUGUUUGGGAGGUUGUGGAUACACUACAUGAUAGCAGUACCAUCCACCCUCCACCAAAUGAUAAAAUUCCCGACAAAGAAUGGAAUUAAGACAGUCUACGGGGAACAACAUGCGGCAAGAGAAAUGUUUGCGGUGCACGAUGUUGCGCCGGCACCAAUACCUCCACCCGCAAAGGGCCAAAGUGUUUACAGUGAAAAUGAUAAUAACAAUUAAAUUUGUUGAUGAGACUCUAAAAAUGCGUGGUCCCUUUUUAUGCGGGUUUGUUAAGAAGUUGAUGCUGAGUAUGUGAGAUUUAGAGACAAAAUAAAGUUAGGGAGAGAGCUAUAAUCAAACCGCUAAGUAAGCUAUUUGGGGCCUCGAGGUUGAUUCCAGGGCUCGGGCUCAAGCUGUCGUGGGUGAUCGGGGUAUGGCUAAUUGUCACACCUCCUUUUUAUCUACACCCCGUAAAGAGGUAUAUAAGGGAGUUUUUUCCCAUUUAAGUGCCAAUAAAAAGGGAUUAUUUAUUAAAAAUCAGAGUCACCACUUGGGAUAUUUAGGGUAUCCCAAGUCAUCGGUUUAAAAUACCGAAUCGAGGAAAUUGAAUCUGUUCUACGGUCGGUGAACACAGAAAUUCGGGUAAGAAAUUCUGUUAACCCAGGAGAAGGUGUUAGGCACUCCCGAGUUCCGUGGUUAUAGCACGGUUGCUUUGAUCAUACUUGGCUUAUUAAAUUGUCUAAUUAAUCGUUUUAGAACCUAUGUGAACUUACCUUUUACCGCUUUUAAAUUAAUAAAAUUAUCUGGAAAUGGGUCAGGCAUACGUGUACCCAUUUGUUUGGCGCGUCAAAAUCAUGCCAUGCAAACGUGUCCACAAUUAAUAACGCUUUUAUUAUUAUUAAGAAAAAAAUAUCCAAAGUUGCGUGAACGCAUACUCCGAAUUAGUUUUUAAAUCAUAAUUAUAUUACGCGAACGUAUACACAAUCACGGUGAUAGAUUAAGUCGCACCAAAAAUAUUUUCUAUGAAUAUUCAAACGUCAUUUUCGUAAACUACGAUUGCCUUAAAUCACACAAAAGAAUCUUGAAACAUUAAUCCAAAGUGCGAAUAAAUCACAUAAACAAUACAAUAUAACGACCUACCAUAGAGAACUAAUUCAUCAAUUGAUAAUUAACAGAGAAAUGGAAUUGGGAAACCACGAGGAAGGAAUUAUAUGCCUUCAAAACAAAAACAAAUCCUAUCAAUUCACAUUUUAUUGUUGUCACGUGCAUAUGAAACUAAUAGUUUGUCGAUAGCCCAUUACGUGACAUCCAAUAAUGAUUUGCCCUUGAAAUAGAUUAUGAGUUCCAAUUCUGAUAACUAAUAGCAGGUAAUAGAAUUUACAGUUUCAACAUCAUACAGACACGGCUAAUCACAUUACUUUUGCACAGAAAGUACAUUAGCUUAUAAAUCACUAACCCAGACUCUUAAAAGGAAACUUCAAACAAACCACUAAAAUUCAGAAUAGUAAUACUGAAUACUACAUAUGCAAAUGUCUGCUAGGAAUGUCCUUGAAAUUCCCUUUAUACAUAUACCCCUACUCAAACCCACAAAAUUCAAGUGAUUAAGCCAUAACUCGUUUCAUGUUUCAAACCAAAACUAAUUCUAGAACAAAGACCUUAGAAAGUGUUCUCAACACUAAGAUAAUUACAAAUAUAGUUAUACUCCAUUCAACCAAAAACAGACUCGACCAAGCUAUCCCCGGAAUGAAUAAUGCGCAUCAUGCAUGAAAUUAAAAGAGACAAAAAUGAGAGUUCAAUAGCAAUCAUCAUCCUAUUUGUCCAUAUUUCAGAUUCAAGAUUCAGACUACAUUCAAAUGGUGUCCAUAGUGUUUGUGAAUACCUGGAAAGCAAAAUGACAGAAAAAGGAAGAAGGUCAAUGAUAGUAUGAUAAUGACAACAGCAGCACCGGAGCAGUAACCUCUCAGUAGUUCAAGAUCGGUUUAAAAGAACCAAAAUCAGACCAUCUUCAACCCAAAUAAGUACAUGUGAUCUCUCGGGAAUUAAAGCUCAAUAUGGGAGCUAUGGAAAACUGGGAAUCAGGACUCCCAACACAAAUUCAACUCAGAAUCAGCUUUGAAAAACCAAAUUAAGCCAAACUCAUUCCCAUAUGAAUCAAAGAUUGCCUCAGAUAUUCAACCUCAAGAAUUAUGGAAAGAAAUCCAAUGGUACAGUAGUUUAUAUGAUAUCCUCUACCUCAAGAAUUGCUUCUAUACUUUUGGGGUUUCCAGAUCUCAAACUCUCUCUUGGGUCUGCCUUGAAAGGCAAGAAAUGGUGCCUUUAUAGGCAAGUUACUAGGGGCAGCCUUACAGAUUUGUUUUUAACUUGUUUAGUCCCUUUUUUAAUCUUCCUUUAGCUUAAAAGUCCCCCACUUAUUGGCUUGUUACUCAAGUUAUAUUGUUAAACGUCUGAAAUUCACAUAGAAACCCUCACUAGAAACUUCCAAAUCAGUUACACUAAAAAUUCCUUAUGCCAAUUCCCUAGACUACCCUCACCUAGACUUCCUAAGUUGCCGCUGAAUUCCUGUUAAUAUACUAGACAGACCGAAUGGGCCAUGGGUCAAUUUGACCCAACUGUUCAGCCCCAAAUGAGCCGGAACAGACCCAAAACCCAACUUUGAAGAUCAAAAUUCUAUUCGGCCCAACUAGCAAUUAUCUAAUUAACAAGUUGUAAACCCCAAAUAACACAGGACAAUUAAAACUUUAGCCUAAAUAAUUUACUAACUAAACUUAACCAAACUAAAAGUUUUAAAACUAAUCUGAUUACAGCCUAACUAUACUAACUAAAAACAAGACUCCAAUUACUCAAGCAUGAAUAAAUAAACUCCGGAACAAAUGAAGAAUGAUUCAAGAAUAGGAUAAGAGACAGAAAACUGAAAAACAAAUGGAGAACAGAUUAAACCAAGAGAAGAAAAGAAGAAUACCUAAGAAAGGAGGACCGGGUCUUCAGAUCCUCGGAUUUUCUGGAAAAAUCUGAUGUUAAUUGUGCGUUCUUAUAUAUAACACACGAAUAAAAUCGGAUUCGACACGAAAUUUCCCUAAAACUUGACUUGGGAUUUCUGGGGUUCAUUUCUGAUCUAAGAUUCAAGGAACUAGGGCAAUAUUCGAGGGUAAUGAAGUAUGGAUUUGGAAAGAGGGAAGUGAGGAGGCUAUAGGGUGUGAUUUUGGUGGCGUUUGGAGGUGGCGCUGCCACCAAAGGCCGGGGAUUGCGGGGCGGCUAGCUAGGGUUUCGGGGGUGUUUUCUGAUAAGGGUGAUGAGCAGAAGGGAGUUC